This 21-nucleotide non-coding RNA is filed under the name Caenorhabditis elegans. Lineage: Eukaryota; Metazoa; Nematoda; Chromadorea; Rhabditida; Rhabditidae. The record is from RNAcentral.
UUGUGGACUUGUUGAACGCUC